UAGAGUUUGAUCCUGGCUCAGGAUGAACGCUAGCGACAGGCUUAACACAUGCAAGUCGAGGGGCAGCGGGGAGGUAGCAAUACUUCCGCCGGCGACCGGCGCACGGGUGAGUAGCACGUAUGGAACCUGCCCGUAGCAGGGGGAUAAGCGGAAGAAAUUCCGUCUAAUACCGCGUAAUAACUCCGAGAGGCAUCUCAUGGGGUUUAAAGGGUGACACCGGCUACGGAUGGCCAUGCGGCGCAUUAGCUAGUUGGCGGGGUAACGGCCCACCAAGGCGACGAUGCGUAGGGGUUCUGAGAGGAAGGUCCCCCACACUGGUACUGAGACACGGACCAGACUCCUACGGGAGGCAGCAGUGAGGAAUAUUGGUCAAUGGGCGAGAGCCUGAACCAGCCAAGUCGCGUGAGGGAGUACUGCCCUAUGGGUUGUAAACCUCUUUUGUCGGGGAGCAAAAGCCGGACGUGUCCGUCUGUGAGAGUACCCGAAGAAAAAGCAUCGGCUAACUCCGUGCCAGCAGCCGCGGUAAUACGGAGGAUGCGAGCGUUAUCCGGAUUUAUUGGGUUUAAAGGGUGCGCAGGCGGAUUUUUAAGUCAGCGGUCAAAUCGUGGGGCUCAACCCCAUCCAGCCGUUGAAACUGGGGAUCUAGAGUGUGCGAGAGGUAUGCGGAAUGCGUGGUGUAGCGGUGAAAUGCAUAGAUAUCACGCAGAACCCCGAUUGCGAAGGCAGCAUACCGGUGCACAACUGACGCUCAGGCACGAAAGCGUGGGUAUCGAACAGGAUUAGAUACCCUGGUAGUCCACGCAGUAAACGAUGAAUGCUACCUGUUUGGCCAGAUUGAUGGCUGAGCGGGACAGCGAAAGCGUUAAGCAUUCCACCUGGGGAGUACGCCGG
Molecule: ribosomal RNA, 891 nt
Filed under: uncultured bacterium
Lineage: Bacteria
Description: bacterial SSU rRNA
Rfam family: Bacterial small subunit ribosomal RNA
Source: RNAcentral